RNAcentral lists this long non-coding RNA (467 nucleotides) under Numida meleagris (helmeted guineafowl). RNAcentral describes it as "lncRNA (ENSNMEG00000007401.1)". The record is from RNAcentral. Lineage: Eukaryota; Metazoa; Chordata; Aves; Galliformes; Numididae.
AUGGCGUGGGCGCCCAGUCGGAACUGUCGAGCUGCGCAUGCGCCCGUCCUCGCCGCGCCGUGCAGCCGGGCAGGAAAGGGGCGGGGCAGGGGGAUGACGAGAGGUCGGCUGAGGCGAGGGAGCGCGCCUGCGCACUGCCUCGAACUCUGCUGCGGUGCGGAGAAUGACGGGAGGCGGAAGUGGGGCGGCUUCCUACUAUGUGCAAGGCAAGGAAAAGGCUGCACUAAUGCUGGUCCUGCAGAGCGGGGAUGCCAACUGGCUGAGCCCCUCUGCUGUGGGGCUGCGUGGCAGGACAAAUGGAACAGCAGGAGGUGCGCUCUCAGAGUCAUGGGCUUGCCAGAACUCUCCUGCAUUUAAACACAGAAAUGUGGAGACAGAGAAAUGAAAACGAACUGUCAGCAGCUUUUGAAUCCAGAGCACCGAAUGUUGCCAUGAGCCCAGAAUAAUAAACCGCGUUUCAAGGCACA